RNAcentral lists this long non-coding RNA (571 nucleotides) under Ananas comosus (pineapple). Its description in RNAcentral is "long non-coding RNA (ACOM_LNC015813)". The record is from RNAcentral. Lineage: Eukaryota; Viridiplantae; Streptophyta; Magnoliopsida; Poales; Bromeliaceae.
AAAAAAAAUUCCCAAUCUAGCCUUCUUCUUAAAAAAAUUUCUAAUCUAGUCUUUUUUUUGAUGGAUUAGAAAAUAAAAAUGACUUAAGAGCAUUUAUAUGUUAAUUAGGAGAGAGAAAAUUUUUCUCUCUCUUUCCUCUCAAUUAAUUCCUAUAAUAAUAACAAUAAUUUAAAAAUAAUAUUUAAUAAUAAUGACAUUAUUAUUACUGAAUGAUAAUUUUUUUAUUAUUAUUAUUAUUAUUAUUAUUAUUAUUACUAGUAUUUAGUACAAGUGGUAAAGUACUUGGUGGUUGGUACUUGAAGUUCUGAGUUUGAAUUAUUAUUAUUCCAGCUAAGUUUAUUUUCUAAAAAAAUAAAUAAAAAGGAUAGCAUCAUGCUAUCUUUCUGAAAAAAAUAUUCAGUAAUAAUAAUAUUUAUUAUUAUUAAAUAUUAAUUUUUAAUAAAUAUUAUUAUAACAAAAAUUAAUUAUUUUUAAAUAUUAGUAGGGUGAGAGGAGAGAGAGAAAAAAAUUUCUCUCUCCUAAUUAGCAUAUAAAUACUAUUAAAAUUAUCUUUUAUUUUCUAAUUAUCAAA